CGGGACCCGCACAACUUGAGCCCGCGAACCUCGUCAGGUGGGGAACCAAGCAGCGAUAAGCGGUGCCUUGGGUGUGUUGCGGAUU
RNAcentral lists this signal recognition particle RNA (85 nucleotides) under human gut metagenome. RNAcentral's name for it is "Bacterial small signal recognition particle RNA". It matches the Rfam family "Bacterial small signal recognition particle RNA". Rfam says of the family: The signal recognition particle (SRP) is a universally conserved ribonucleoprotein involved in the co-translational targeting of proteins to membranes. Archaeal SRP consists of a 7S RNA and homologues of the eukaryotic SRP19 and SRP54 proteins. The record is from RNAcentral.